UGUCUCCUGAAUGUUCUCAGGUGAUAGCCCAAACCUGUGCUGAGAAAAGAAAUAAAGACAAGAAAGUUAGACAGGGCCCUCACUGGACAGAGGAUAACUGGCCAGCCCAACACUCCAGAUUUCAAUUUCCAUUGAGACUAAAGGGCCAUAGCGUAGGAGCAAUAGGCAGCUGGGCCGGAGUGGCCUCAGUGAGUCAAUGCAGGGAUAUUCACUGAGCAUGUAGCUUGGGCCAGGGACUGCUUAAAAGGAAGCUGCUGGGGGAACACCGACCAUGGUCCUCAGCAGAGCAGGAAGCUGGGAUCCCAGGAGCCAUGGCAAGCUCCAGAUGAGAAGUGAGUACAAACUUGCAGAACAGACAAAGAGUGAGGAAGUGGAGGCUAGGUCAAAAAGCGGAGAGUAAAGCAGGCUUCUGUCCUUCAAGGCCCAGCCCAGAAGACCCUAUGCCCAGUGAUAUAAGAUCCUCAUCACUCUGCCCCAGGAACAACUGGUAUGAUCCAUGAGCAGUCCUGGGCAGGGCAAAUACCUGGGCUUUGAGUACUGAAUAAGGUGCGAUGCACAGUCCCUAAGAAUCAUGAUGACAUCCUUAGAGUGUUAUCUUAAGGUAGCCCUGUUUAGUCCUUGCCUCUUAUCCACCCGCUACAAAGAGCAGUCAGUUUAAAAAAUGGCUUGGCUCACAGAUCAGGAACCCCUCAAGAGCAAAGACCUACCUCCCCCACUGCAGCCCAGCAACCUGUAGGGUUUUCCUGCAGUCGAACAAGUGUAGCUGGAAUUGCAUUCACCCACCUGUUCCUGAGUUCUCCUGGGACACAAUGUUGGAUUGGUGGGCACUAGUAUAUUCUUUUCACAAGUGCUGGAAUAUCACUAUUUCAAACAGCUUAAUGAUCAUUGUACAUGUGCCCUGAGCAAGGCUGCAUGAAUAACUAAAAUGUCAAAUGUCUUUGUUUUAGCUGCGAUUCUAUCAACUCUGCAGGUCUCAUAAGCAUGAGCCACAUGCCAAUUAGAAUCUCUGAUGGUCAAGUAUAAAUGUCUUUGUUUCAUAAAAAUGAAAGAAUGAGUUCAUUAUCACUUAACUCCCUCUAGAAGAAAUAAUCUUUUAAAAACUUAAGAUCCAUAAGGAGGAAAGAUGGGUUGUUAAAGCAGGUCCUCCCUAAAGAUUGCUUCCUUGCCUGUGAAUAGAAUGAAUCCAAUGGCAUCAUUUCCUAGAACCAAGUUGAAUUUCCCACUGGAACCAGAAUUCCAGAAAGCCCUGGACAUCACUCUACAUGUCAAGGCUGCAGACACACACACAUCAAUUCUGAAAGAGGGAGGAUUCCAAGAGUGAUGGUGCCUGCAGGGCCUUCUGAGAUAAGAUGAGGAGUCUUUCUGGUUUCCAAGGGGAGGAACCCAAGCUACAGUCUCACUGGCACCAAAGAUUAGAGAGGUUAGUGAUUGAGGACCCAGGGAGGCAGCUGCUCUCUGAAGACUCUUCCCUAGUGGAGCUAUACCUCAGCUCAAAAAGGCAACCACAAAUCUUGUGUCCAGCACAGCUCCAAUUCAAGCAAAUUUCAUUCUCUUUCACCAAGGAAAGUCUAUACACAUACACAUGUAUAUACACACAUGUAUGUAUAUAUGUUUAUAUAUGUGUGCAUGCAUACAUACAUACAUAUGCAUGUGUAUAAAAUGGGAUUUGAAUUAUAGACUUAGACCUGUCUUUUCAUCAAAAUAAAUAAACAAACAUGAAUUUACCCAUCAGAAAACUUCAGUUGUCAGGACCUGUGUCUGAUAUUUAGCUGGGGAAAUUUCCCCUGUCACUGGGGUGGUGGAUGUUGUCUCAGAGCUGAACACUGGGCUGGUGGGGUCAUCGGAGGAUGAUGAGGAUGAAUCAAGGCUGUUCUCCCACUUUCUCCAGGGCUGUGCCUGGGACCAUAUGUGUAUGUGUGGCUGAGAGGAGGCAUGGGUCCCAAGACAUGGGUCAUCAGAGACUGAAGCUCUCCAGGGCAGCCUGAGAGAUCUGGCAGGGCUCUGGGGGCGCCUCAGUUUUGUGAAUCACCGCCAUGUGGUGCCUUUGGAGUCAGCCAGCUCUGCCUCCUAACCCCAUCCCCUCACUCACCAGAUGUGUACCUGGGUCUCAAUUUCCCCCAUCUGUCAUUGAGGACAGUCAUACCGACCUCAGGGAGGGAUCAGGUGAGAUAAAUGUGAUGAUGACCAAAAUGCAAGACAAUUACUGAUCAUGAGCAGAUGAAGUCUAGAAAGGGGGAAAUUGGUCCACAGAACACAGUGGGUCAAUGAGGGACUUAGAACGAAAACUCGAGUCUUGGGUUCCCAGGCCAGACCUCCUUUCACUGCACCAGGGAUUUCAAAGUGGGAUCCACAGAUGUACUGUCAGGGGCCCUUGAGUGAUAUGAGAGUCUUUUUUUAUUCUGAUAUUUUCAUUUUAAAAAUUGAAAAAUAUCAGUGAGACCCUAUUGGGGUUGUGUGUGGAUGAUCAUAUUAUCACCAACUAAUGCUUCAGGAAUGCAGAGUUCACAUUUGCAUUUGGGUUUACUAUCAUGUUUUUGCAAAAUGAAGGCCAAAUGACUUCAUGGACUGCUGUACAAACAAAGGUUUAGCAAUUGUUCAAACAGAGAUAAGUGGAGGGAGGAUUGAGUCAUCAAACAGAACAGGGGACACAGACAUGCCACAAAUAAGCUGCUCUGCAUUGAAGCUGGUAGAAUUGUAGUCACUGUUUUGCAAGCAGGUGCCUGAGUGAAUGCCACCUUGGUUUGCAACAACUUGCAAGACAACACUAGCAGCUGGAAAUGGUAAAUGGUAUAUAGUCUUACUAAAUGGUACAUAUUUCUAUAUAUUUUAAAUUAUUAUAUUUUGAAGUGCUCUAUUAAGUUGAUCGCUUCAUCAAAAUUCUAGGUCUGUGUUUAGAAGUGUGUUCAUUGUAAUACAUGAAAAAUAUAAUAAUAUUGAUAAUAACUCUAAUGAUGGUCUAGCAUGUCCAAACAUCAAAAUGAUCUAGUUGAUAACAAGCGGAACUUAAAUGGGAAUGUAUCCUUCUAUUAUUAAACCCAACGUUGGUUGUUUUACUUUCAGCAAAACAUCAUCUGUCACAUUAAAUUAAUGCCAUUAAUUUGAAUUUUAAUGGUUUUGUAGCUUUAUUUGCAUUUAAUUUGUAAUUGUGUUUUGGUUUUACAGCUGUGUAAGAGCUAAAAGCAUAAGAGAUUUAUACUUACUUUUAUGUUUGUAUAUAUUUAAGUAACAAUAUGAUCAAAAUAAUUCUUAUCAACACUGGGGGUCUGCAAUGAUAGCUUUCCCUUUAGAAGGCAUGUUUUAGUCAACUUUAGGAAUCACUGAGACUGCGCCACAGCACACUGCUCAAUGCACAAGAGGGAUUGCAUUUGAACAGUACUAGGUGGGAUUGGAUCCAGCCCAGUAUGUUGUGGGAAGGGCAUGUGGGGAAAAAAUUCCCCUGGGAAUUUAGGUCCAGGCUUUUCAAAGUGCUGGGUUACUUAGUCACCAUCUCAGAUGACUCAGGGACCCCAAUCAGCUACCAAUAUCUUUUGGCUCUCUUUCUGCUGUUCCUUUACCAAACAAUUUCGUGUAAUUCGGUGAUAAGCCACUGAGAGUUCAGACAGAGAUUCUUAACCUGAAUCCUAUAACAAACUUCGCUGGAGGAGAAACCCACAGCCUUCACCAGAGUGUCACCCGCAUGCUUCCAGCAUCCUCAGAGGAUGGGGCCAGCCCCAAAAUGCUGUGGGGGCAAGGGCUGGUGUGUCCCUGGACCUGACUCUGCAGCAGGCACUUUUUUCCUUGCCUUCCACUCCCACGUAAAAGCCGGCAGAGGAAAGAGACUGGAAAAGGCUGGGUCACUUCCCUGAGAUGCACAGCUGGACACUUACAAUAGACAUAGCACUGAAUCUCGUCGAUUGCUGUCAGCUACAGGUCCUCCCCAGCCUGAAGAGCCAAACUGGUUACCACAGAGGUUCUCGAGGAAGGAACCCAGUCCAGGAGGUCAGAGUCUUGGUUUCCCAAGAUGGCCGGACUACUGAGUUGCUGUGUGACCUUACACAAGUGAUUCAAACUCUCUGAAUCUUCCAGAGCUGAUAGAGCCACCGAAGCAGAGAAGGAGUGGGGGAGGAGAAGUCUGCAAGUGUGCACUGGACCGUGUCCUAAAGUGCCAGCCAGAUGGCCAUCUGUGCGCUUUGGCCUCCCCAGUCCUGCCAGGGAAGGAAGUAUGAAGCCAAAGCCAGAUGAGAGUGAAGACCUGGCCAACAGCCUCUCUGCAGACCCUGCCAAGCACAUGCCACCCCCUCGGUCAUGUGCACACACACACCUGCACACACACACUCUGCUCAGUCCUUCAGCUGGUCAGCGCUGAUGGCUCUUGUGGGGGGCCUCUGCUCUGUCCCGAUCCACCCAUGCUCACAGUCCCCCCUGCAGAAGCACUAGUAAUGCUCAGAGGACUUUCCAAAGCCCCUACGGAACCCAGGGACUGCUCACCCGUGGCUGUUGGUUAUGUCAGAUAUCGGAGAACCAGCCCCAAAGACAGGCUACUGUUGUGGGAAAGCCCAGAACAUAAGACUGCAAGGUCUGGUUCUUUCUGGAAUCACUGCACUCCCUGGAGAAGGCCACACCCCUUCCUCUUUCAGGCUUUAGCUGCGGCAUCUGUAAAAUGGUGAUCCUAACCCCUGUCCUGCCUGCCUUAUGGAGACAGUGAGGAUUAAAUGUGUGUUAGAAAGGAAAGCUCCCUGUAGGUAAGAAAGUGUUGAGCAGACCUCACAACCAAUGCUUUCCGUAUGUGCUUCCAGGAUUUCAGGGAGAUUUUUCUAUUUUCCAUGGGUGUGAUAUGUCUCCAUACAGCCUGGAGCCUAGUAUUUGUGCAGAUAGUCAGGACUGGAAGAGCUCAGAUGUUGGAGAAUUUACUGCAGGCUGGUCCUGUAUAUUGUAUCGGCUUGUCACCUUCCUCGUUCUGCACACUGGAUCUCUGUUAACAUAGCCCCUGACUCUCACAGAACUUAUUGUCAGCUCUAACCCUGUGCUUGUUUUCUGCACUCUGCUGCUAACAUUCCCAGCCCUUGUAUGGAUAGGCCUGGGGCCUCAUGGCACCCUGUUCCCAGGCCUGCAGAAAUCUGCUCUCUGGGAGCACCUCCACCAGACCUGGCUGACCGUGUCCCUGAGCCAGAAGGGGAUUAGAGGCCCCCACUGAGCUGGAGCUGGAGAUUUGGAACAGAAUACCCCCUCCCUUUCAGCUGGGCAAAAAGGAGAAGGAGCAGAGCCAACAGCCCCAGGGCUUCCUGAAGAAACUUUGCACCAGGAGCCUCCCAUUUCCUGGGCUUCUGCUGAUGGAACAAACUUUCCUCGGCCCUUGGCGGCCCAGAUUCUGGAACAGGCUACUCUGCAGUCAGGCACUGUGUGGGGGAAGGGGUGUCAGCCUGGGAUGGCAAGGACAAAGCCCCAGCCCAUGCUGCUCCCCAAUCUCUCCUUCCACCCAACUUGCUCUGUGGCCUCCAGCAAGGCCCUUCUCUUCCUGGGGCCUUAAUUUCCUCAGCUGUAGAAUGAGUCAGGGAAAUAAGAUUGGUCCGGUGAAAUGUCACAGUUGAGUGGGUCUUACAGAGGCAGAUUCUACAUGGAGAAGGGGUGUGGAGCACCACCAUCUUUUCUGAUUCCACUCUCACUUCCCAGCUCUCACAGCCUUAAAGCAAACUCCAGCUGCCCAGACCUCCACUGUGUGCCCUGGGCUCUGGGCCUUGGCUGAUCUGGUAAAUGCUGCCCCCACACGCCAAAAGGACAGAGGAAACAACUAAGAGAGUCCCCAAGGCCCAAGGCUGGAACAAUUUGAGCAACAAAAUACAUCAUGAGAGUAUCAAAUUAUAACUCCUAGAAUAAAAUAAAAAUCCAGGAGUCCACAUGGUUAUAAAUAAGUACCUGAAUAAAUAAAUAAAUGAAGGCAGCUCUUCCUUACAGAAGAGUUCCAAUUAAUAAAUGUGACAUGAACAAGGGAAAUAAAAAAACACCAUUAGAACACCACAGUAAUAAUUAUUGCAGACAAGACGCACUGAUGUAUGCUAAAAUUAAUGGGUGAAAGUUUGAGGAGAAGCAGCAUGUUCGAAUUGUCUCAAAGUAUCUCCCCCAAGAGAUUUACUAAUUAUAAAGGGGAAAGAAAAUACAGUAAUCUGCAGUGGAGAAACCCAGUAGGUGCCACCUUAAUCAAGUGACCAAGUUAACAUCACCAGUAAUAAGACGUAGCAACAUCACCACACGCCCCGAUAGGAUGCACAGAGAAGACAUUUCAUGUAUAUAGUAUUCUUGCCAAAAAAUGCAUAACAUCAAUUUCAUCAUGGGGGGACAAUCAGACUGAGGGGCAUUCUACAAAAUCACCCAUCAGUACCCUUUCAAAUGUCAAGGUCAUGGACGGCAAGGAUGCUCUGAGGAACCAUCACAGAUUGGAGGGGAUUAAGGAGAAUGACAGCUAAAUGAAACGUGAGAGCCUGGAUUGGAUCCUGGAAUAGUGGAAGGAUAUUAAGAGAAAAACUGGUGAACUCUGAAUCAAGUCUGUAUUUUAGUAACAGUAUUGCCCAAUGUUGUUAAUGUAAUGAUUUUGAUAAAUUAUACAAGAUGCUAACAUUAGGGAAAGCUAGGUGAAGGUGUACAGAAACCCUCUGUGCUAUAUUUGUAACUUUUUAAUUUCAAAUAAAAAGUAAAAAAUAAAA
Molecule: long non-coding RNA, 6677 nt
Organism: Homo sapiens (human)
Lineage: Eukaryota; Metazoa; Chordata; Mammalia; Primates; Hominidae
Exons: 3
Source: RefSeq, a predicted model, not a curated record